AAGUCGUAACAAGGUUUCCGUAGGUGAACCUGCGGAAGGAUCAUUACAAGUCUGAAAUGGGGGGGUUGGAGGGUGGAGUGUUAUGCUCUGCUCGUCCCUCACCACAAGAGGUCUCGGAUCCAAUGGAUUCGCAUGACAUUAACGCUUGCUUUGUUUGUCAGUUUUAGUGAAAGUAUUUUGUACAAAACUUUUAACAACGGAUCUCUUGGCUCUU
This 214-nucleotide unclassified non-coding RNA is filed under the name fungal sp. RNAcentral describes it as "partial internal transcribed spacer region". The stretch from base 1 to 46 matches the Rfam family "Eukaryotic small subunit ribosomal RNA", at positions 1786 to 1831 of the family's 1831-position model. Lineage: Eukaryota; Fungi. The record is from RNAcentral.